UUUUUUUCUUUGUUUCUUUUUUUUUUUUUUUCUUUUUAGGGCCUCACUUGUGGCAUAUGGAAGUUCCCAGGCUAGGGGCUAAAUCAGAGAUACAACUGCCGGCCUAUGCCACAGCCACAGCAAAAUGCAAUUCUGCCGUGUCUGUGACCUACACCACAGCUCAUGGCAACUCUGGUCCUUAACCCACUGAGGGAGGCCAGGGGUUGAACCAGCAUCCUCACAGAUACUAGUUGGGUUCUUUACUACUGAGCCACAAUGGGAACGCCCCAAAUUUUCCUCUUCUUAUAAGGACAUCAAUUACAUUGGAUUAAGGCCCAUUCCAAAGACAGCAUCCAAACUUGAUUAAACCUGCAAAGACCGUAUUUUCAAAUAAAGUGACAUUCACAUGUGCUGAGGAUUACCAUAGAUACAUAGAUAGUUAGAUAAUAGAUGAUAGGUAGGUAGAUAGAUAGAUAUGUAGUAAAGAAUUAAUAUUCUUAUAAACAAGCCUCAGUUUUUAUCUAUACAACAGAUAUAAUAAAACUGCCCUCAUAUGAUUGCUGUGAGGAUGAAAUAUGUGAACGAAUCUAGCAUGAGGCAGAAUUAGCUAUAUGGUUGAUGCUUGUAUUAAUAACUCAGGUAACUAUUUUCAGGUAGUAGUUACCUAACUCAGGUAACUAUUUUCAGAAGUAGUUUCAGGAAAGGAUUUUCACUGUGUUCUAUAUAUCUAUACGAUUCUAAAUACCACAUGUCAUCAAUUUAAAACAAAGCUUUAAGUCUCAUGGAUAUGGCCAAAAGAAGUACAUGAUUCAGAAAAGGCAUUAGGUUGCACUAGAACUUUCUUUAGCCUUGGAGUAUUCUACUAGAGAACAAAUAUAUAGAAUACUUGCAAAGUUAAUGUCUGGGGAUUCUGUUUUCCCCCUCUGUAAUAGUCCUAACUGUAUUUACACCAUAAGGCAGCAUUAGAUUUUUGGCUAAUUGCUGAAUUAGAUAAAUCUGGUGGCUUACGGCUUUCUUCUAUUUUCUUCUCUCACUAUUGGAUGUUUGGCUUUUAACGUUCUGGACAAUCACCUGUACUUCCCACUUUUCUUUGCCAAUUGGCACCAGCACAUUCAAAGUUAAAUUUAAUGCAAAGACAUCAUCUGGCACAUUUCUCUAAUCUCAAAAAGGUAAAUUCCCAAACCUCAGUUGAAGUAUUUCUAUUUUAGCCUGAAUUUUCAAGAUAAUUGCCUCCUCAUGUCUCCACUUAAUUUGGCUUGUGCAGAUACAAUCACAUGAACAAAUACAUGUUAAUGGAAAGCCUUCUUAGCUGUCAGUGAGUUGGACAUCCAUUGGGGAUGGUAUAUGGGAGCUCUGGAAUUUAUAAUCCUUUCCACUCUGCCAUUAAUUAAAAGUGCCCCAGAGACAGAUUGGGAGUGACCCAGGGUGAAGGGGUUGAAGGUUAAGCCUUUUAGCUUUGAGCCUCCAGUUUGAAUCUGAUCUAAGCUGGUAAUAAAUAAGAGCUACUGCUAUUUGAUAUCAGUUUGGUGAAUCAUGUGAAAUGAAUUAGUAAUCUCAGGCUUGUUCUGGUGGACAGGUGUCCUCAUACAGUGGGAGCUGAUAGCCUUUGCAGAAGAACACAACAACCUAAAAAAGAUGGAAAUAAAAUGGCUUCACAAAUAUUCUCUUACCUUGCUAAGAUUGCUGUUCAGUAACAUGGAAAAGUAAGAAACCUUAGGAUUCCAUAUGCCCAGCUUGUAAAUGGCUAUGGGAAUAAAAGGGAUCAGGAUGGGCUUAAUAAGACCCAGAGAGUGGGUCAAAUGGGAAUCAGGUGGUGGGUCUAAGAGAAAUUUAAUAUCCUUGGCUUCUCAUUUUUUCCCCCUUUCUGUUUGGUUGUCAUGGGAAUCUGUAUUUGUGGAAGAAAUACUGACUGCAUUUGCCCAGGGCAGAUGUAUGUACCCUCUAGCCUUCAAAUUUAGCAUUACUAGGACAGAAGGAUUUGUGGCUGGAUAGAAUGAAGGCGAGUCAUACCGGUAAUUCUGGCAGGCAAAAUAAAACAUUGCAAGCAUUAAAAAAAAUUUUUUUUUUCCAAAAGAUAUCAUGUACUGAAUUGAAAUAAGAUCAAAACUUGUUUUACUAAACUGAGGAAGGCUAUUUAGAGCUUAGUUUAACUCAAAUUUUGUUAUUAGGAUUAAUCCAGUAGUACUUUCACCCAUCUUUUAAAUGUAUAUUGAGGAAGAACUGCAUUUUUUUUUUAAUAAUAGAAAAAAAAAAAUGGGGCAGCCCUGAGGAAUUAAGUGGAGGAAAAAGACAUCCAACCUUCAAUGUACUUAACUUUAUUUUUCUUUUUGUGAAAGAAAAUAUGAAUCAUUAAUAUCAACUACAUCUUGCUGGUUUUAGUAAGCUUCAACAGGCAAAAUGUACUAGUUCUUUCUGAAUCAGGUUUGUGAAGUUAUUUGUGCAUGUGUGUAUGUGGGUAUGUGAAGUACCAGCUUUGUGCAUAUACAAUAGUGCUAAAGAAAUCAUAAUGUUUUCCUUAGCACUUUUUAUCUGACAGAGUCUUUGAAAAUAAAUUCAUCAGAUUGUGGUGAGUAAUAUCUUUGGCUAAGAUCUAAACACUACAAACAUGAUGAACCUAUGAAUAUGUUUUCUUGAUUUUCUUCUUUAAAAUGUCUUAACUUGCUAUUGUUCCUCUUUGUAACUCAUCCCAAACCAAGUAAUUCCAUUUUGUUUCUGUUUGUUUAGUGAUUACAUCAUGUUGCCAUUAUAAAAGAGUCCCAUUACCUGAGUCUGGAACUUUUAAAAACUCCUUUUUCCGUCUCUUCAUCCCCCCAUCCUGGCAAACUGCUCUUUCAUUUCCUGCCAGGUAGAUAAUCUAAUAAAUGCUUUCACAUCAAAGGUUAAUACCUGAUUAUGGAUUAAAUAUGAAAGCUGAGCCACAUUGAAUAGUCUGUAUUUGUUUCUGACAUAGAAUAGUAGUUUCUUCAUAUGGUUCCGCCUAUGACUCCUUAAUUUGCAUUUAAGAACAAAACUGCAUUGGUUUCUCAUGGUAAAAUUAGGGGAUUAGAGUCAUGGCAGUCAGUGACAACAAUAGUUUGGGGAAUAGAAAUCCUUUACUGAGAGUUCCCAUCAUGGCUCAGUGGAAGGGAACCCAACUAGUAUCCUUGAGGACCCAGGUUCGAUCCACGGCCUUGCUCAGUGGGUUAAGGAUCCGGCCUUGGUUGCCAUGAGCUGUGGUGUGAGUCACAGACGUGGCUGUGGCAUAAGCCAGGAGCUACAGCACCGAUUCAACCCCUAUCCUGGGAACUUCCAUAGACUGAGAGUUCAGCCCUAAAAAGACACACACACACACACAAAGAAAAAG
Molecule: long non-coding RNA, 3322 nt
Filed under: Sus scrofa (pig)
Lineage: Eukaryota; Metazoa; Chordata; Mammalia; Artiodactyla; Suidae
Description: lncRNA (ENSSSCG00060026789.1)
Source: RNAcentral